Molecule: ribosomal RNA, 253 nt
Filed under: uncultured bacterium
Lineage: Bacteria
Description: partial 16S ribosomal RNA
Rfam family: Bacterial small subunit ribosomal RNA
Source: RNAcentral
UACAGAGGGGGCAAGCGUUAUUCGGAAUUAUUGGGCGUAAAGGGCGCGUAGGCGGCUUUUCAAGUGACGGGUGAAAUCCCUCGGCUUAACCGAAGAACUGCCUGUCAGACUGGAAGGCUUGAGACCGGGAGAGGUGAGUGGAAUUCCCAGUGUAGCGGUGAAAUGCGUAGAUAUUGGGAGGAACACCAGUGGCGAAGGCGGCUCACUGGACCGGAACUGACGCUGAGGCGCGAAAGCGUGGGGAGCAAACAGG